Xiphophorus hellerii (green swordtail) is the source of this 2218-nucleotide RNA transcript. It is a transcript of the gene named DET1 and DDB1 associated 1, with no coding region annotated. The record is from RefSeq and is a predicted model, not a curated record. The transcript is spliced from 6 exons. Lineage: Eukaryota; Metazoa; Chordata; Actinopteri; Cyprinodontiformes; Poeciliidae.
GCCAAGUAAACAUCCCUGCCAUUCAGCUAUCAUGUUAGCCGACGGAGUCAUAUGUAAAUAGCUUUACGAGCUUAUGGGAUGUCUGCUUGGAUUGAUUUGUUUUAUGAGUGUUGUAUAAUUUUUAGUUGACACCUGGAUAUAUAUCUAAAUAUAAUGGACACCAGAAGUUCUAUGUGAAGGUCGUUGCAGUGUUUUGCAGUAAAAUUCGUCAGGUUAGCUGCCCCGGUGGACUAGCCUGUUAGCUAUCGCGGCCAUAACGAGCAGCACAACAAACACCGAGUCGAGUCGGCGAGUCGACUUUAGACGUUAUUUCUGCCAUCGUCAUCAUGGAGAAGGCUGAUUUCUUGAAGGGACUUCCAGUCUACAAUAAAAGCAACUUCAGCAGGUUCCAUGCAGACUCAGUUUGUAAAGCAUCAAACCGAAGGCCGUCUGUUUACCUCCCAACCCGGGAAUACCCUUCUGAACAGAUUAUUGUAACAGAGAAAACUAACAUCCUCCUGCGCUACCUGCAUCAGCAGUGGGACAAAAAGCAGAAUGCAGCAAAGAAAAGGGAACAGGAACAAGGCGAGGGGGACAGCCCGGCACCACCGAGGAAAAUCGCCAGGACAGAUAGCCAAGAGAUGAAUGACGACUCAUAAAGUGUGCGUGUGUUUGUGUGUGAGAGGAUGAAAUAGCAUGUGCACAUACAGGGUGUAGCCUAUGUGAACUGAUGAACACAGAAAGUUAGGUGAACCUGAAUAAAAAUACGUGGUAAUUUUGAAAAGAGGUGCACUGAUCAGGAUUUUCCUGGCUGACUGUGUUUAAGAUCGAGUCAAAAUCCAUCAUAAUGUUUUUAUUUUGGCUCUGAUAGACAUGUCGACUCCUCCUGGGGUGAGCCUGUACACCUGUAAGUGUUUGUAUGUGUGUUGCGCUGUGGAUGCGUGUCGUUCCGUUUGUGUGAAGCGGGUGAGUGUUAAAGUGUGUAGAGUUGAGAUGGAGACACACUGGACAGAAAAAGCUACUUUUAAAAACUAAACCUGUGUAGAUCCGCUCUGAUCCACGUGAACGUUUUGUUACUCUGUUAAUUUUAUUACAACUCGUCGUUGUUGAGCUUCCUGCCAGCCGCAGUGCCCACUCGGUUUCACUGCCCACUUUUAUCCACAUGGGGGCGCUUCAGCAUCUCUGAAAAUCCACAGAACCAAGAAUGCACUGUGACAAAGAGCACAAAGUAGAGCCAUUUCUUACAAAAUCCUCCAUAAGAUGCGACUAUAUUCAUAUCUGUGUUUUAAUCUGGGACUUGUGCUCAUAGGAUUUAGGUUGAUUUGUCUGAGAUGCAUUUUCACACCUAGCAUCUCAGUGAUUAUGGCUAUAAAAUUUUUUAUUUUCUUAAAGGAAGAAAUUCAGACCCGUAAAGCACAGAUGGUAAAAAAAAAAUCUAAUUACAUGAAAGGAAAGAUGAUUUUUGUGUGUGUAAAUAGUUAACAUUACAAUUAAACAAGUUUGUGUUUUCCUAAAUAAAUAAAAACACCCAUGGAUGCGAUAGGAAAGGUAGCACCCUGAUGCCCAGUGGAUGUUCUCUGGCUUGCAUGUUGUUUUCACUACUGGAUGUUUUGUUACAGAACCGAAGGUAUCAGCGUAGAGCAGGGGUCUCAAACUCCAGGCCUCAAGGGCCGCAGUCCUGCAGUUUUUAGAUGUGCCACAGGUGUGGUGCAGCAGAGGCACAUCUAAAAGUUGCAGGACUGCAGCCCUCGAGGACUGGAGUUUGAGACCCCUGGCCUAGAGGCCUUACAACUCGUCAUCGUGGUCCAAAUCCCUUUAGCUGCCCCGGCUUGGAUACGUUCUGCAUCUUCCAGUCUCGGAAGGUUUUUUUAAGUUUGAGAUCUGGCAUGAAUUAUCACAGAGUGGGAUUUAAAAGGGAUAUUUUAGCGUUUUCAGCCACAGAAUGCACAUGGAGCAUGGGAAGCAGCGUACUUACUUUCAGUUUGUUCUGGGGUCAUAAACCGCUACACUGCGAUGAAGCUUCUUGUUAUCACUGCCCAGCAGAGUCACGUCGAAGCCUGAUGUUUUAACAGUCGAUGCAGCAGUGUAGAUAUCCUUUUUUUUUUUUUUUAAAUCAUAAAAACAUGACAUGCUUCUGCUCUGAUAGACUGUUCAGCUCCACCUUAGGCCUUGCUUCCAUACUGUGUGUUUGAUCAGAUGUUCCUUUAAACUUUGCUCAAAUAAAGCUUCACUGAAACUA